AUGUUCGUAAAAAGAAGAGUUGGUUGACAUCUCCCCCUAGAAGGAUGGAAACAAUCUUCGGGUUUUACCUAUUACCACACAUCUAUUUAAGGCAUUCCAACUUAGUGGGACUAGCCAAGAAUGUGA
RNAcentral lists this non-coding RNA (126 nucleotides) under Solanum tuberosum (potato). The record is from RNAcentral. Lineage: Eukaryota; Viridiplantae; Streptophyta; Magnoliopsida; Solanales; Solanaceae.